Molecule: long non-coding RNA, 102 nt
Organism: Etheostoma spectabile (orangethroat darter)
Lineage: Eukaryota; Metazoa; Chordata; Actinopteri; Perciformes; Percidae
Exons: 3
Source: RefSeq, a predicted model, not a curated record
UUAGUUACGUAAAAGUACCGAAAAUAUUAACAAUAAAAUAUACUUAAAGUACCCAAAGUGAAAGUACUCAUUUUGAAAAAUUGAGUAUAUAUUAUUGGAUUA